RNAcentral lists this ribosomal RNA (167 nucleotides) under uncultured bacterium. RNAcentral's name for it is "partial 16S rRNA". It matches the Rfam family "Bacterial small subunit ribosomal RNA", at positions 354 to 511 of the family's 1533-position model. The record is from RNAcentral.
UAGGGGAAUCUUCGGCAAUGGGGGGCAACCCUGACCGAGCAACGCCGCGUGAGUGAAGAAGGUUUUCGGAUCGUAAAGCUCUGUUGUAAGAGAAGAACGUGUGUGAGAGUGGAAAGUUCACACAGUGACGGUAACUUACCAGAAAGGGACGGCUAACUACGUGCUAG